AUACUAGUAGUAUAUUAUUGUGAAGUAUGCUGUCUUUCCAAGUCAGAGGUCCAGGGUUUGGCUAGUAUA
This 69-nucleotide transfer RNA is filed under the name Diplodiscus nigromaculati. RNAcentral's name for it is "tRNA-Gly". The record is from RNAcentral. Lineage: Eukaryota; Metazoa; Platyhelminthes; Trematoda; Plagiorchiida; Diplodiscidae.